AUUGAACGCUGGCGGCAGGCCUAACACAUGCAAGUCGAGCGGAUGAAGGGAGCUUGCUCCUGGAUUCAGCGGCGGACGGGUGAGUAAUGCCUAGGAAUCUGCCUGGUAGCGGGGGAUAACGUCCGGAAACGGGCGCUAAUACCGCAUACGUCCUGAGGGAGAAAGUGGGGGAUCUUCGGACCUCACGCUAUCAGAUGAGCCUAGGUCGGAUUAGCUAGUUGGUGGGGUAAAGGCCUACCAAGGCGACGAUCCGUAACUGGUCUGAGAGGAUGAUCAGUCACACUGGAAAUGAGACACGGUCCAGACUCCUACGGGAGGCAGCAGUGGGGAAUAUUGGACAAUGGGCGAAAGCCUGAUCCAGCCAUGCCGCGUGUGUGAAGAAGGUCUUCGGAUUGUAAAGCACUUUAAGUUGGGAGGAAGGGCAGUAAGUUAAUACCUUGCUGUUUUGACGUUACCAACAGAAUAAGCACCGGCUAACUUCGUG
RNAcentral lists this ribosomal RNA (484 nucleotides) under uncultured bacterium. RNAcentral's name for it is "partial 16S ribosomal RNA". It matches the Rfam family "Bacterial small subunit ribosomal RNA", at positions 30 to 507 of the family's 1533-position model. The record is from RNAcentral.